This 311-nucleotide unclassified non-coding RNA is filed under the name Metarhizium sp. RNAcentral describes it as "partial contains 5.8S ribosomal RNA, internal transcribed spacer 2, and large subunit ribosomal RNA". The stretch from base 1 to 71 matches the Rfam family "5.8S ribosomal RNA", at positions 84 to 154 of the family's 154-position model. Lineage: Eukaryota; Fungi; Ascomycota; Sordariomycetes; Hypocreales; Clavicipitaceae. The record is from RNAcentral.
GUGAGUCAUCGAAUCUUUGAACGCACAUUGCGCCCGCCAGUAUUCUGGCGGGCAUGCCUGUUCGAGCGUCAUUUCAACCCUCAAGACCCCUUCGGGGGACUUGGUGUUGGGGACCGGCAUAGGGGCCUUGCGCCCCUCGCCGCCCCCGAAAUGAAUUGGCGGCCUCGUCGCGGCCUCCCCUGCGUAGUAGCACAACCUCGCAACGGGAACGUGACGGCGGCCACUGCCGUAAAACAACCCAAUUUUAUUAGAGUUGACCUCGAAUCAGGUAGGAAUACCCGCUGAACUUAAGCAUAUCAAUAAGCGGAGGA